AGCAUGUCUGCUGUUUUUGCAAUUUCAACCUAAACACUAGAGAGCAUCCGAAGGACACCACAAAGAGCUUCGAGUAUAGCAUUGAUAUCCACGUGCGUUCCACGUGCACCAUUAAAAAAAUAAUAAUAAUAUUCAUGAUAAGGAAACACCUUUGCACCCCCCAUAGAAAAUGAGAGUGAAUUCAACAUCUGGCAAAUAAAG
RNAcentral lists this unclassified non-coding RNA (201 nucleotides) under Hevea brasiliensis (rubber tree). The record is from RNAcentral. Lineage: Eukaryota; Viridiplantae; Streptophyta; Magnoliopsida; Malpighiales; Euphorbiaceae.